Molecule: ribosomal RNA, 253 nt
Filed under: uncultured bacterium
Lineage: Bacteria
Description: partial 16S ribosomal RNA
Rfam family: Bacterial small subunit ribosomal RNA
Source: RNAcentral
UACGUAGGUGACAAGCGUUGUCCGGAUUUACUGGGCGUAAAGAGCGCGCAGGCGGUCGAUCAAGUCGAGUGUGAAAGCCCCCGGCUCAACUGGGGAGGGUCAUUCGAUACUGAUCGACUCGAAGGCAGGAGAGGGUAGUGGAAUUCCCGGUGUAGUGGUGAAAUGCGUAGAUAUCGGGAGGAACACCAGUGGCGAAGGCGGCGACCUGGUCCUUGACUGACGCUGAGGCGCGAAAGCGUGGGGAGCAAACAGG